ACACGCAUGACACACUGCAUAUCAAUAAGCGGAGGAAAAGAAACUAACAAGGAUUCCCUUAGUAACGGCGAGUGAAGCGGGAAGAGCUCAAAUUUGAAAUCUUCAAGGUUCUACCUUCGACGAAUUGUAGUUUAUAGAAGUGUUUUCUGUUAGUAGAGUGGCAAAAGUUCUUUGGAAUAGGACAUCAUAGAGGGUGAGAAUCCCGUAUUUGGUCAUUCUUUCUAGCUUUGUGAUACACUUUCAACGAGUCGGAUUGUUUGGGAAUGCAGUCCAAAAUGGGUGGUAAAUUUCAUCUAAAGCUAAAUAUUGGCGAGAGACCGAUAGCGAACAAGUACCGUGAGGGAAAGAUGAAAAGAACUUUGAAAGAGAGAGUUAAACAGUACGUGAAAUUGUCCAAAAGGGAAGCGUUUGACACCAGUGUUGUUUUUUCCGAAAAUCAAUUACGAAUGUUUUGUUUUUGAGAAGUUAUGACUUCAUCGGCUUGCUUCUCUCUUUACGAAACUUUCUUAAUGCACUUUUCGGUUAACAAGUCAACAUCAAUUUCUUUUGUUGUAAAAGGGUAUGAGGAAGGUGGCUUUCUUUUCGGAGAAAGUGUUUAUAGCCUUGUACCUCUGCAAUCGGAGAGAUUGAGGUCUGCAGCGUAGAUCCUUCGGGGUUAGAUACAUUUGUGCUAAGUUAUAGCUUUUCAUAGACAACUUGUUGACUAUGUUUAGUCUUGUAGCUUACUCGCUUAUGCUAUUUUACCUACGCUUAGGAUGUUGACUGAUAUGUAGUCGUA
RNAcentral lists this ribosomal RNA (778 nucleotides) under uncultured Neocallimastigales. RNAcentral describes it as "partial large subunit ribosomal RNA". It matches the Rfam family "Eukaryotic large subunit ribosomal RNA", at positions 23 to 644 of the family's 3401-position model. The record is from RNAcentral. Lineage: Eukaryota; Fungi; Neocallimastigomycota; Neocallimastigomycetes; Neocallimastigales.